CCUACGGGUGGCAGCAGUGGGGGAUACUGCACAAUGGGCGCAAGCCUGAUGCAGCCAUGCCGCGUGUAUGAAGAAGGCCUUCGGGUUGUAAAGUACUUUCAGCGGGGAGGAAGGCGAUAAGGUUAAUAACCUUGUCGAUUGACGUUACCCGCAGAAGAAGCACCGGCUAACUCCGUGCCAGCAGCCGCGGUAAUACGGAGGGUGCAAGCGUUAAUCGGAAUUACUGGGCGUAAAGCGCACGCAGGCGGUCUGUCAAGUCGGAUGUGAAAUCCCCGGGCUCAACCUGGGAACUGCAUUAGAAACUGGCAGGCUGGAGUCUUGUAGAGGGGGGUAGAAUUCCAGGUGUAGCGGUGAAAUGCGUAGAGAUCCGGAGGAAUACCGGUGGCGAAGGCGGCCCCCUGGACAAAGACUGACGCUCAGGUGCGAAAGCGUGGGGAGUAAACAGGAUUAGAUACCCCUGUAGUC
This 465-nucleotide ribosomal RNA is filed under the name uncultured bacterium. RNAcentral's name for it is "bacterial SSU rRNA". It matches the Rfam family "Bacterial small subunit ribosomal RNA", at positions 338 to 795 of the family's 1533-position model. The record is from RNAcentral.